RNAcentral lists this ribosomal RNA (525 nucleotides) under Yersinia enterocolitica. RNAcentral describes it as "partial 23S ribosomal RNA". It matches the Rfam family "Bacterial large subunit ribosomal RNA", at positions 1649 to 2155 of the family's 2925-position model. The record is from RNAcentral. Lineage: Bacteria; Pseudomonadati; Pseudomonadota; Gammaproteobacteria; Enterobacterales; Yersiniaceae.
CCAAACCGACACAGGUGGUCAGGUAGAGAAUACUCAGGCGCUUGAGAGAACUCGGGUGAAGGAACUAGGCAAAAUGGUGCCGUAACUUCGGGAGAAGGCACGCUGGCAUUAGGUAAAGGGACUUGCUCCCGGCGCCGAAGCCAGUCGCAGAUACCAGCUGGCUGCAACUGUUUAAUAAAAACACAGCACUGUGCAAACACGAAAGUGGACGUAUACGGUGUGACGCCUGCCCGGUGCUGGAAGGUUAAUUGAUGGGGUCAGCCGCAAGGCGAAGCUCUUGAUCGAAGCCCCAGUAAACGGCGGCCGUAACUAUAACGGUCCUAAGGUAGCGAAAUUCCUUGUCGGGUAAGUUCCGACCUGCACGAAUGGCGUAAUGAUGGCCAGGCUGUCUCCACCCGAGACUCAGUGAAAUUGAACUCGCUGUGAAGAUGCAGUGUACCCGCGGCAAGACGGAAAGACCCCGUGAACCUUUACUAUAGCUUGACACUGAACAUUGAGCCUUGAUGUGUAGGAUAGGUGGGAGGC